UACGUAGGGUGCGAGCGUUAAUCGGAAUUACUGGGCGUAAAGCGUGCGCAGGCGGUUCGUUGUGUCGGCGGUGAAAGCCCCGGGCUCAACCUGGGAAUGGCCGUUGAAACCGGCGAACUGGAGUGUGGCAGAGGGGGGGGUGGAAUUCCGCGUGUAGCAGUGAAAUGCGUAGAGAUGCGGAGGAACACCGAUGGCGAAGGCAGCCCCCUGGGCUGACACUGACGCUCAGGCACGAAAGCGUGGGGAGCAAACAGG
RNAcentral lists this ribosomal RNA (255 nucleotides) under uncultured bacterium. Its description in RNAcentral is "partial 16S ribosomal RNA". It matches the Rfam family "Bacterial small subunit ribosomal RNA", at positions 524 to 776 of the family's 1533-position model. The record is from RNAcentral.